UACGUAGGUGACAAGCGUUGUCCGGAUUUACCGGGUGUAAAGGGCGCGUAGGCGGGAUAGCAAGUCAGUCGUGAAAUGCCGAGGCUUAACCUCGGAGCUGCGAUUGAAACUGUUAUUCUUGAGUAUCGGAGAGGAAAGCGGAAUUCCUAGUGUAGCGGUGAAAUGCGUAGAUAUUAGGAGGAACACCAGUGGCGAAGGCGGCUUUCUGGACGACAACUGACGCUGAGGCGCGAAAGUGUGGGGAGCAAACAGG
Molecule: ribosomal RNA, 253 nt
Filed under: uncultured bacterium
Lineage: Bacteria
Description: partial 16S ribosomal RNA
Rfam family: Bacterial small subunit ribosomal RNA
Source: RNAcentral